Lates calcarifer (barramundi perch) is the source of this 527-nucleotide long non-coding RNA. RefSeq lists it as uncharacterized. The record is from RefSeq and is a predicted model, not a curated record. The transcript has 2 exons. NCBI's taxonomy places the organism in Eukaryota, Metazoa, Chordata, Actinopteri, Centropomidae.
UGUCCUGACUCUCCACUUUUAGCCGGCACAAGGAGUUGGUGGUCUAAGCUUUUAAUACUGACUCUAAAUAUUUUCUGGAUUUUUUCCCCUUUAUUUUUGCACUUUUUUGAGUUCAUGGCACAGACGGAUUUCUAAGACCCGAGGUCCCACUGUGGUCCACCUCUGUCCUGCAGCUGCUGCCUGACAUUUUAAGACUUGUUGUGACAUUUGUCUAGAAUUUAAGCAUCAUUUUAGGAUUAUUAUUAUUAUAGCUCCGUGUUUUUUUCUUCAGGGGCAAUGACAAGGAGACGUGUGAGGGGAGUGAAAUUGUACACCUGCUAGGCGUUGGCCCGACUACCAACACAGACAAUGUAAGCAAGCACAGGGCUAUAUGAGGUCUUAGUGGAUUUUACUCUAUAUGACUCAGAUGUUUUGUCAAAUUUGUGGGACAAAUAUUGGAGAGGUAAAUGCAGGCUUUUCUAAAUGUUUACACAGAAAAAAUUACUUGUGUUUUUUCAUGCUUCAUGUAUAUUAAAAAUAUGAAUUCA